Molecule: ribosomal RNA, 615 nt
Filed under: uncultured bacterium
Lineage: Bacteria
Description: bacterial SSU rRNA
Rfam family: Bacterial small subunit ribosomal RNA
Source: RNAcentral
AGUCGAGCGAGAAGUCACAUUACUAAUUCUUCGGAAGAAGUAAAGUGAUGGAAAGCGGCGGACGGGUGAGUAACGCGUAGGCAACCUGCCUCUCACAGGGGGAUAGCCAUCGGAAACGGUGAUUAAUACCCCAUAAAGUCAAAAUAACACAUGUUAAGCUGACCAAAGAUUUAUCGGUGAGAGAUGGGCCUGCGUCUGAUUAACUAGUUGGUGAGGUAACGGCUCACCAAGGUGACGAUCAGUAGCCGACCUGAGAGGGUGAACGGCCACAUUGGAACUGAGACACGGUCCAAACUUCUACGGAAGGCAGCAGUAGGGAAUCUUGCACAAUGGGCGAAAGCCUGAUGCAGCAACGCCGCGUGAAGGAAGAAGGCCUUAGGGUCGUAAACUUCUGUUCUUGGGGAAGAAAAAAAUGACGGUACCCAAGGAGGAAGCCCCGGCUAACUACGUGCCAGCAGCCGCGGUAAUACGUAGGGGGCAAGCGUUAUCCGGAAUUAUUGGGCGUGAAGCGUGCGUAGGUGGUAAUUUAAGCGCAAGGUUUAAACUAACGGCUCAACCGUUAAUUGCCAUGCGAACUGGGUUACUUGAGUGCUGGAGGGGAAAGCGGAAUUCCUA